This 210-nucleotide ribosomal RNA is filed under the name uncultured Streptococcus sp. RNAcentral describes it as "partial 16S ribosomal RNA". It matches the Rfam family "Bacterial small subunit ribosomal RNA", at positions 1171 to 1382 of the family's 1533-position model. Lineage: Bacteria; Bacillati; Bacillota; Bacilli; Lactobacillales; Streptococcaceae. The record is from RNAcentral.
AAGUGGGAUGACGUCAAAUCAUCAUGCCCUUAUGACCUGGGCUACACACGUGCUACAAUGGUUGGUACAACGAGUUGCGAGUCGGUGACGGCGAGCUAAUCUCUUAAAGCCAAUCUCAGUUCGGAUUGUAGGCUGCAACUCGCCUACAUGAAGUCGGAAUCGCUAGUAAUCGCGGAUCAGCACGCCGCGGUGAAUACGUUCCCGGGCCUU